AUCACGCACUAACCUCGACCGAUUGGAUUUGAUUUCUUCGACAAGUACAGACACACUUCCCUUUGAAUCGAACGUAGGGACAGAAAAACGAUCAUUCGAUUUAAAGCCUCUUAUCCCAAGUUAUUUUCUGAACAUCUCAUACUCAAGCCAUAAACGAAAGGAAGCCGGCGAUCUUUAGCUUAUGUAACAAGAACUCUAUUGAAGAACACCAAGUGAAGUUACGAUUCCUUACCGACUGACAUCGAGAAAACUUUGGCUUGUUCUUGUUUUAGUGCCAGGGUUCCCUCGGUCAGCGUUCCGAAGAACAUCACCCAAACAUACAGAAGCCUACAGAAGCCAACAAUGGGCAAUUUUGCGCGAUUUCUGGAUUUCACGAAGAAUCUUCUGAAAGCAACAGGAGCAAGAACAUCUGAUGAUCAUCUGGCCCUAUUUGAUGAUGCCGAACACAGCUAGUUUGUAAGCAGACGGUGCAGAAUAUUCUUGGCUUUUUUAUACUUCUGCUCUUGUAAAAGAUUUUAGAUUAACGAAAAGGAAUA
Non-coding RNA from Pocillopora verrucosa, 536 nucleotides. NCBI's taxonomy places the organism in Eukaryota, Metazoa, Cnidaria, Anthozoa, Scleractinia, Pocilloporidae. The record is from RefSeq and is a predicted model, not a curated record.